AGGACGAACGCUGGCGGCGUGCUUAACACAUGCAAGUCGAGCGGUGAUCCUCCUUCGGGAGGUGAUCUAGCGGCGAACGGGUGAGUAACACGUGGGCAACCUGCCCCUCGACACUGGGAUAACCUCGGGAAACCGGGGCUAAUACCGGAUACGACCUCGAGCGGCAAUCUCUUGAGGUGGAAAGCUCCGACGGUGAGGGAUGGGCCCGCGGCCUAUCAGCUUGUUGGUGGGGUAAUGGCCUACCAAGGCGACGACGGGUA
Molecule: ribosomal RNA, 260 nt
Filed under: uncultured bacterium
Lineage: Bacteria
Description: partial small subunit ribosomal RNA
Rfam family: Bacterial small subunit ribosomal RNA
Source: RNAcentral